Molecule: unclassified non-coding RNA, 382 nt
Filed under: Hevea brasiliensis (rubber tree)
Lineage: Eukaryota; Viridiplantae; Streptophyta; Magnoliopsida; Malpighiales; Euphorbiaceae
Source: RNAcentral
UUUUUCAUGUUUUCAUACGGUGUAAUCACUAGUGCAACAAUCCUUUAACUGUUUCUGUAACCUAUCUCUGAUUCUAAGCCGAAGUCAUAAUCCAUGGAGAGAAGAAAACAGAAAAAGAAAAGGAGCGAAGAAUGGGAAGUUUUUAGGGAGAGGUGGAGAGGGAAGAAGGGAAGGAAUGGAGAAAAAGAAACAGGAAAAGAGAUGGAAAGAAUGGAAAGAAAAGGAAGGAAGAACAGGAAGCUUCUAGGGAGAGAUGGAGAGAGGAGAAGGGAAGGAAAGAAAGAGAGAAGGAAACAAGAGAGAGAAAAUACACACACCCAGUAGCUAGUUCAAUCUUCAAAGGCAGCAGCUCCAAUGCUAUUAGUUAGUAUUAGGUUAAAAC